AACUUUUAGCAAUGGAUCACUUGGUUCUGGCAUCGAUGACGAACGCAGCGAAAUGCGAUAAGUAAUGUGAAUUGCAGAAUUCAGUGAAUCAUCGAAUCUUUGAACGCACAUUGCACCCUCUGGUAUUCCGGGGAGUAUGCCUGUUCGAGCGUCAUUACAACCCUCAAGCUCUGCUUGGAAUUGGAUGUCACCCACUGUGGUGUGUCCUAAAACCAUUGGCGGUAGCAUUUAGCUUCUAGUGUAGUAGAUUUCUCACUUUGGAGUCUAGGUGUCCUACUCGCCAGAACCCUUAAAUUUUAUCAAAGGUUGACCUCGGAUCAGGUAGGGAUACCCGCUGAACUUAAGCAUAUCAAUAAGCGGAGGCU
Molecule: unclassified non-coding RNA, 365 nt
Filed under: uncultured Ascomycota
Lineage: Eukaryota; Fungi; Ascomycota
Description: sequence contains ITS2
Rfam family: 5.8S ribosomal RNA (bases 1-154)
Source: RNAcentral